This 214-nucleotide long non-coding RNA is filed under the name Elaeis guineensis (African oil palm). Its description in RNAcentral is "long non-coding RNA (EGUI_LNC050718)". The record is from RNAcentral. Lineage: Eukaryota; Viridiplantae; Streptophyta; Magnoliopsida; Arecales; Arecaceae.
UAGUAAGGACCUCUUGGCCUCCAGACUUCGAUGUUAGAAGAGGGAUCGGACAUCGGACAAUAAAAUAGUCUCAAGGAUUAAUUAUGAUUCUUGUCCAAACAUGUCAAAUCAGGAUAUAUUAUCGUCAUUUCACUCACUGCCCAUGCGCCUACCAAGCCCAUGUCACAUCACCUUUUUUGCCAACUGUGCGUCAGUUAAAGGUCCACUUGCCAAC